This 888-nucleotide ribosomal RNA is filed under the name Chthoniobacteraceae bacterium. RNAcentral's name for it is "partial 23S ribosomal RNA". It matches the Rfam family "Bacterial large subunit ribosomal RNA", at positions 1 to 910 of the family's 2925-position model. The record is from RNAcentral. Lineage: Bacteria; Pseudomonadati; Verrucomicrobiota; Spartobacteria; Chthoniobacterales; Chthoniobacteraceae.
GGCCAAGCUGGAAAGAGCGUGUGGGGGAUGCCUUGGCGCUAGGAGGCGAAGAAGGGCGUGCAAGACUGCGAAAAGUCCGGGGGAGCUGUCAAAGGAGCAUUGAUCCCGGAAUCCCUGAAUGAUCGUAUACUGAAUCCAUAGGUAUACGAAGCGAACGCGGCGAACUGAAACAUCUCAGUAGCUGUAGGAAGAGAAAGAAACCUCGAUUCCGUCAGUAGCGGCGAGCGAAAGCGGAAGAGCCCAAACCGGCCGGGCAUGCCCGACCGGGGUUGUAGGACCGAUGUGAUGCCCGACAGAACUUAGUUGAAUCCCCUGGGAAGGGGAACCAAAGAGGGUGACAGUCCCGUAGGCGACAAGUGAAGUUGGCUGAAUCGGCACCUGAGUAGGACCAGACACGUGAAAUCUGGUCUGAAUCGGCGGGGCCCAUCCCGCAAGGCUAAAUACUCCCUAGCGACCGAUAGCGAACUAGUAGCGCGAGCGAAAGGUGGAAAGAAUCCCGGGAGGGGAGGACAUUGACCCUGAAACCACAUGCUUACAAGCGGUCGGAGCUCAGUGGCGUAAGCCCGAGUGACGGCGUGCCUUUUGCAUAAUGAUCCGGCGACUUGCUGUUACUGGCCAGGUUAAACCGUUAUGCGGUGGAGCCGAAGCGAAAGCGAGUCUGAAUAGGGCGAAUAAGUCAGUGGCAGCAGACGCGAAACCACGUGAACUACGCAUGGGCAGGAUGAAGCGGGAGUAACAUCUCGUGGAGGUCCGAACUCACUAGUGUUGAAAAACUAGGGGAUGACCUGUGUGGAGGAUUGAAAGUAUCAUCAAACGUGGAGAUAGCUCGUUCUCUCCGAAAUAACUUUAGGGUUAACGUCGGACUAGUUGGCGGUGGGGGUAGAGCGA